Molecule: ribosomal RNA, 393 nt
Filed under: uncultured bacterium
Lineage: Bacteria
Description: partial 16S ribosomal RNA
Rfam family: Bacterial small subunit ribosomal RNA
Source: RNAcentral
AUACGGAGGAUGCGAGCGUUAUCCGGAUUUAUUGGGUUUAAAGGGUGCGUAGGCUGUGCGUUAAGUCAGGGGUGAAAUGCCGUCGCUCAACGACGGAGCUGCCCUUGAUACUGGCGUGCUGGAGUACGGAUGCCGUUGGAGGAAUGAGUGGUGUAGCGGUGAAAUGCUUAGAUAUCACUCAGAACACCGAUUGCGAAGGCAUCUGACGAAUCCGUCACUGACGCUGAGGCACGAAAGCGUGGGGAUAGAACAGGAUUAGAUACCCUGGUAUUCCACGCCGUAAACGAUGAUGACUAACCGUCGGCGAUAGACAGCCGGUGGCCAAGCGAAAGCGAUAAGUCGUCCACCUGGGGAGUACGUCGGCAACGAUGAAACUUAAAGGAAUUGACGGGG